Molecule: ribosomal RNA, 439 nt
Filed under: uncultured bacterium
Lineage: Bacteria
Description: partial 16S ribosomal RNA
Rfam family: Bacterial small subunit ribosomal RNA
Source: RNAcentral
CUACGGGCCGCUGCAGUGAGGAAUAUUGCACAAUGGGGGGAACCCUGAUGCAGCAACGCCGCGUGGAGGAUGACGCAUUUCGGUGUGUAAACUCCUUUUAUAUGUCAAGAAAAUGACGGUAGCAUAUGAAUAAGCACCGGCUAACUCCGUGCCAGCAGCCGCGGUAAUACGGAGGGUGCAAGCGUUACUCGGAAUCACUGGGCGUAAAGUGCGCGUAGGCGGGUUGGAAAGUCAGGUGUGAAAUCCUACAGCUUAACUGUAGAACUGCACUUGAAACUUCUAAUCUAGAGUAUGGGAGGGGGAGAUGGAAUUAGUGGUGUAGGGGUAAAAUCCGUAGAUAUCACUAGGAAUACCUAAAGCGAAGGCGAUCUCCUGGAACAUUACUGACGCUAAGGCGUGAAAGCGUGGGGAGCAAACAGGAUUAGAUACCCGGGUAGUC